Long non-coding RNA from Haliotis rubra (blacklip abalone), 352 nucleotides. RefSeq lists it as uncharacterized. The transcript has 2 exons. Lineage: Eukaryota; Metazoa; Mollusca; Gastropoda; Lepetellida; Haliotidae. The record is from RefSeq and is a predicted model, not a curated record.
CACACGCACACACACACACACAUGCACGCACGCUCACACACACAGGGAAUGAUGCAAAGGUUUUCCCAUUCUUUCCUAGAUCAUUCAGUACUUUUAUUUAACGAGCUUUGAGUAAAAAGGUUUUUUCAUAUUGCCUAAUUAAUGUGAUUACUUUUUUAAUCUUUUCAGUAUUACUUCAACCACGUUCUAUCACAGAAGGUGCGGAAUAUCCGAUGGGCAAGGAACAAGAGGAGUGAGCAGAUAAGUAAUGAAACUGGUGGGAAAAGGAAAAAGCCGCACCUCAGUUUGGCCAAGAUUGAUGAGGUCAAAGAAAUGGACGUUGAGAAGGCGAAAAAGACCCUGGAAUUGGAAU